GACGAACGUUGGCGGCGUGCUUAACACAUGCAAGUCGAACGGAAAGGCCCUGCUUUUGUGGGGUGCUCGAGUGGCGAACGGGUGAGUAACACGUGAGUAACCUGCCCUUGACUUUGGGAUAACUUCAGGAAACUGGGGCUAAUACCGGAUAGGAGCUCCUGCUGCAUGGUGGGGGUUGGAAAGUUUCGGCGGUUGGGGAUGGACUCGCGGCUUAUCAGCUUGUUGGUGGGGUAGUGGCUUACCAAGGCUUUGACGGGUAGCCGGCCUGAGAGGGUGACCGGCCACAUUGGGACUGAGAUACGGCCCAGACUCCUACGGGAGGCAGCAGUGGGGAAUAUUGCACAAUGGGCGGAAGCCUGAUGCAGCAACGCCGCGUGCGGGAUGACGGCCUUCGGGUUGUAAACCGCUUUCGCCUGUGACGAAGCGUGAGUGACGGUAAUGGGUAAAGAAGCACCGGCUAACUACGUGCCAGCAGCCGCGGUGAUACGUAGGGUGCGAGCGUUGUCCGGAUUUAUUGGGCGUAAAGGGCUCGUAGGUGGUUGAUCGCGUCGGAAGUGUAAUCUUGGGGCUUAACCCUGAGCGUGCUUUCGAUACGGGUUGACUUGAGGAAGGUAGGGGAGAAUGGAAUUCCUGGUGGAGCGGUGGAAUGCGCAGAUAUCAGGAGGAACACCAGUGGCGAAGGCGGUUCUCUGGGCCUUUCCUGACGCUGAGGAGCGAAAGCGUGGGGAGCGAACAGGCUUAGAUACCCUGGUAGUCCACGCUGUAAACGGUGGGUACUAGGUGUGGGGUCCAUUCCACGGGUUCCGUGCCGUAGCUAACGCUUUAAGUACCCCGCCUGGGGAGUACGGCCGCAAGGCUAAAACUCAAAGGAAUUGACGGGGCCCCGCACAAGCGGCGGAGCAUGCGGAUUAAUUCGAUGCAACGCGUAGAACCUUACCUGGGUUUGACAUGGAUCGGGAGUGCUCAGAGAUGGGUGUGCCUCUUUGGGGUCGGUUCACAGGUGGUGCAUGGCUGUCGUCAGCUCGUGUCGUGAGAUGUUGGGUUAAGUCCCGCAACGAGCGCAACCCUUGUUCACUGUUGCCAGCACGUUAUGGUGGGGACUCAGUGGAGACCGCCGGGGUCAACUCGGAGGAAGGUGGGGAUGACGUCAAGUCAUCAUGCCCCUUAUGUCCAGGGCUUCACGCAUGCUACAAUGGCUGGUACAGAGAGUGGCGAGCCUGUGAGGGUGAGCGAAUCUCGGAAAGCCGGUCUCAGUUCGGAUUGGGGUCUGCAACUCGACCUCAUGAAGUCGGAGUCGCUAGUAAUCGCAGAUCAGCAACGCUGCGGUGAAUACGUUCCCGGGGCU
RNAcentral lists this ribosomal RNA (1345 nucleotides) under uncultured bacterium. Its description in RNAcentral is "partial 16S ribosomal RNA". It matches the Rfam family "Bacterial small subunit ribosomal RNA", at positions 28 to 1381 of the family's 1533-position model. The record is from RNAcentral.